Molecule: ribosomal RNA, 253 nt
Filed under: uncultured bacterium
Lineage: Bacteria
Description: partial 16S ribosomal RNA
Rfam family: Bacterial small subunit ribosomal RNA
Source: RNAcentral
UACGUAGGGUGCGAGCGUUAAUCGGAAUUACUGGGCGUAAAGCGUGCGCAGGCGGUUUGUUAAGACAGAUGUGAAAGCCCCGAGCUCAACUUGGGAAUUGCAGUGGAUACUGGCAGGCUGGAGUACGGUAGAGGAAGGUGGAAUUCCCGGUGUAGCAGUGAAAUGCGUAGAUAUCGGGAGGAACACCAGUGGCGAAGGCGGCCUUCUGGACCAGUACUGACGCUCAUGCACGAAAGCGUGGGGAGCAAACAGG